This 176-nucleotide ribosomal RNA is filed under the name Mycobacterium marinum. RNAcentral describes it as "partial 16S ribosomal RNA". It matches the Rfam family "Bacterial small subunit ribosomal RNA", at positions 28 to 204 of the family's 1533-position model. The record is from RNAcentral. Lineage: Bacteria; Bacillati; Actinomycetota; Actinomycetes; Mycobacteriales; Mycobacteriaceae.
GACGAACGCUGGCGGCGUGCUUAACACAUGCAAGUCGAACGGAAAGGUCUCUUCGGAGAUACUCGAGUGGCGAACGGGUGAGUAACACGUGGGCGAUCUGCCCUGCACUUCGGGAUAAGCCUGGGAAACUGGGUCUAAUACCGGAUAGGACCACGGGAUUCAUGUCCUGUGGUGGA